AACGAACGCUGGCGGCAGGCUUAACACAUGCAAGUCGAGCGGGCCCUUCGGGGUCAGCGGCGGACGGGUGAGUAACGCGUGGGAACGUGCCCUCUUCUACGGAAUAGCCCAGGGAAACUUGGAUUAAUGCCGUAUACGCCCAAAAGGGGAAAGAUUUAUCGGAGGAGGAUCGGCCCGCGUUGGAUUAGGUAGUUGGUGGGGUAAUGGACUACCAAGCCAACGAUCCAUAGCUGGUUUGAGAGGAUGAUCAGCCAGACUGGGACUGAGACGCGGCCCAGGCUCCUACGGGAGGCAGCAGUGGUGAAUCUGAGACAAUGGGGGCAACCCUGAUCCAGCCAUGCCGCGUGAACGAUGAAGGCCUUAGGGUUGUAAAGUUCUUUCAGCUGGGAAGAUAAUGACGGUACCAGCAGAAGAAGCCCCGGCUAACUCCGUGCCAGCCGCCGCGGUAA
Molecule: ribosomal RNA, 449 nt
Filed under: uncultured bacterium
Lineage: Bacteria
Description: partial 16S ribosomal RNA
Rfam family: Bacterial small subunit ribosomal RNA
Source: RNAcentral